GAACCGAACCGGGGAACUAUAAAGAAGGCCCGAGGGCUCGGGCCCAUGGGCCGUCCCCAAGCCUCCUCGCACCGGAGGGCGUCUCCCCCCUCCCGUUCUGGCCGAAACCCUAGCCCCAACCAGCAAGUCGUCGUCUCCGCCGGUAGCCGCCGCCGUUAGAUCGUUGGUAUCAACAUAAUGACAACUGGUGAUUCUGCACACACUGGUGGAGGCAGAAACACCACCAACUGCGAUCGUGAAAAUGGAUUUGUUAGCACAUCUCCAAAGGGCGACUUGUAGCAUUGCAAACAUCUGCAUGAUUAGAUGAGGAAACUCUGUCUCGACAUCAAUGGCAACAACAUCAUCCAAGUCUUUUUCACAAUGAUUACAUGAUCGAACAGAGAGCCAAGCUGAAAUCAUCAAGAUUCGUAGAAGGUUUUCCACACUUUAACAUUCAGAUGUGAGUUUAAUUUCAGCAGUUUCUAAUUCUAUCUGGCUUCUCUUAGGCAUUCAAGAUUUGUAGAAGGUUUAAUGUGUACCGAUCUUAACCUCAAAGGUUUCUUGUCACUAAAAGUUAGAAUUCAGUGAAGGGUUUUAGCUAACACUCACACAAAGUAAAUUUUGUAGCUGGAUCUGGAUGGAACAGCAACGAUGAGAAUGGUGGUUAAUUCUGAUUUCUAUGUUGAUGAAGGUUUGAUAGCUUAUAGUGCAGUUGCAUUAUGGAUAUAUGACAAAUCAAAUUGUGAAAAGUGGCAUUUGAAUACAGAAACUGCUGCUCAAUAAUGCAACAAAUGUUAAACAAAAAAUAUAUAUAUAUUAAGUUGCAUGAUGGGAAGUGAUAACAGAUGAUUCUUGACGAUGAACAGGCCCACAUGUGAUUCUUAAUUCAACAUACUUCAAAUGGAUUGUAAUAAAAUGACCAGUACAGUCACAAUCAUAAAAGAUUUGAGAACCAGGAAGGAGGAUGAUUCAUAAGCUGCAUAAAAUAGAUCUCAUGUGCAGUUAAGAGCAAAAGAGAAAGAAGCAUAGAAGUCGCUUGGUGGUUUCUAUAUGGUUUGAAUCAGAUGCUUGGCAAAGUGGCAUCAGAAGUGGAGUAUCAUGCCCUUAAGAAACUAGCUGCGUUUCAUGCAGGCAGGCCUGUGGAUAGACUUGGGGAUCAAACAAUGCCUCUCAUCCUUUGGCACCAUGUAUUAUUUAUUAAGAUGGUGAUGGAGAAGGUAUCAGAUCAAGUGUUCUCAUAGAAGAUGUCAAAAGGGUGCAGAAUGACAAUGAUGCUUCAUUCCAGCCCACAGCAGCCAAAGAUGGAUGAGAAGUUGUACCAAAUAGAAAGUAUAAUCUUUAGGUCACAUCAGUCACAUAUAUUUUCUCUGAAUCCCCAUGAGAAUGUUCCUGCAGCACUAGAUAUGACUUCUGAAUGCAUGCCAUCCAUCAAAAGAGCAUGGGAGAGGCUUUGCGAGCUCCUUUACAGGGGUGCAGAGCCCACUACCUAAAGCAUUCAGCUGAAAGCAUAGAAACUGAUACACCCUCGAUCUUCCAUAACAUUCAUGGCAGGUUAAAGCUGUUAAAAGGUGCUUUAGGGAGGAUAUGACACUGACUCAAAUCCUCUUAGUUUAAGUGGGGAUGGGUAGAUAAGCAGCAUUUAUGGUGAUCCAUGGCAUAUGCAUAGUAAUAGAUAGGCCAAUUAUUUGCUACAGAAGUAGAAGAAGGAACUUCUGAUUUCUUUCUGCUGUUCCAGAUUUAAGCCAUUCAAGUUUAUUGGAUUCAUAUAGCAUGAUCAUUGCCCUCCAGUUAAAUUCAUUAGAUAAUGAUGUGGAGAUUCAUAAAAUCAAUGGCUAAGCAUGUGAGAGAGAAAGAGAGUUUAAGUACAGGAUUAAAGAACAAAACAGAGGAAGAAAAAGUGAGGGAUUUGGAAAAACCUAAGCAAGGAGAGAAGAACAUGGAUCACCACCUGCACUGCAUCUUUGUAAUUGUAGUGGUUGUUUGUUGAUGUGAUCUGAAGCAGACAAGCCAUCAAGAAAAUUUGGGUCUGAAUGGGCUGACACCAAAAGAGAGUGUGUUUGUCAACAUAAGAUUAAAGAAAGCAAACAUUAUCAUCUAUGCUGACUAGCUGAUGGAACACUCAACCAACACAAGCAGAUGGGAUGUGCCCACCAGUGACUGUGCUAUUUGUGUUUUACAACGUAUAUGGCACAUUGUAUGUUCAUGAAAUCCACUUACUCUGUUCUUUUAUUUGAC
Non-coding RNA from Musa acuminata subsp. malaccensis (wild Malaysian banana), 2214 nucleotides. Lineage: Eukaryota; Viridiplantae; Streptophyta; Magnoliopsida; Zingiberales; Musaceae. The record is from RefSeq and is a predicted model, not a curated record.